CCCUUAGAUGUUCUGGGCCGCACGCGCGCUACACUGACGAAGUCAGCGAGCAUCUCCUACGCCGAAAGGUGCGGGGAAUCUUGUGAAACUUUGUCGUGCUGGGGAUUGAUUUUUGAAAUUCUUGAUCAUCAACGAGGAAUUCCUAGUAAGCGCAAGUCGGCAGCUUGCGUUGAUUACGUCCCUGCCCUUUGUACACACCGCCCGUCGCUACUACCGAUUGAAUGGUUUAGUGAGAUUUUUGGACUGGAACUCUCUUGUUCAGCAAUGAACGAGAGGGACUCUGGGAAGCUAUUCUAACUGUAUCAUUUAGAGGAAGUAAAAGUCGUAACA
This 330-nucleotide ribosomal RNA is filed under the name uncultured eukaryote. RNAcentral's name for it is "partial 18S ribosomal RNA". It matches the Rfam family "Eukaryotic small subunit ribosomal RNA", at positions 1470 to 1796 of the family's 1831-position model. The record is from RNAcentral.